Molecule: non-coding RNA, 216 nt
Organism: Pelobates cultripes (western spadefoot toad)
Lineage: Eukaryota; Metazoa; Chordata; Amphibia; Anura; Pelobatidae
Source: the annotation of a GenBank genome assembly
AGGUGAAGAACAGCUAUAGUUAUAUAAAACUAUAAGACCUCGGGACAUAUUUGGAAACAAGUGAGAACCAAGUUAUAUUUCCUGAUUAAAUACUCUGCGAUAAUUCAGCAGAACUUAAUACUUCACUAGAAGUUUGUUACCAAGAAUUUGACAGGCUCUUUUCUGCAAAAUUACUUGUUCUAAUUUGCUGCAAAGAGUCAAUAUGGCACUGGUCCA